This 402-nucleotide ribosomal RNA is filed under the name uncultured bacterium. RNAcentral's name for it is "bacterial SSU rRNA". It matches the Rfam family "Bacterial small subunit ribosomal RNA", at positions 1012 to 1414 of the family's 1533-position model. The record is from RNAcentral.
GGCUUCCGCAAGGACGCUCGUCGAGGUGCUGCAUGGCUGUCGUCAGCUCGUGUCGUGAGAUGUUGGGUUAAGUCCCGCAACGAGCGCAACCCUUGUCCGCUGUUGCCAUCACGUUAUGGUGGGCACUCUGCGGAGACUGCCGGUGAUAAACCGGAGGAAGGUGGGGAUGACGUCAAGUCAGCAUGGCCUUUAUGUCUGGGGCUACACACGUGCUACAAUGGCGGAUACAAACCGUUGCGAUCCCGCGAGGGGGAGCUAAUCGGAGAAAGUCCGUCUCAGUUCGGAUUGCAGGCUGCAACUCGUCUGCAUGAAGUUGGAAUCGCUAGUAAUCGCGGAUCAGCACGCCGCGGUGAAUACGUUCCCGGGCCUUGUACACACCGCCCGUCACAUCACGAAAGCUGG